GACGAACGCUGGCGGCGUGCUUAACACAUGCAAGUCGAACGAAAGUACCAAGCUUGCUUGGUUGAUUAGUGGCGAACGGGUGAGUAACACGUGAGUAACCUGCCCCUUACUUUCCUGGAUAACUGCUCGAAAGGGUAGCUAAUACGGGAUAUUCUGACCAUCCUGCAUGGGUUGGUUUGGAAAGGUUGUUUUUCUGGUAAGGGAUGGGCUCGCGGCCUAUCAGCUUGUUGGUGGGGUGAUGGCCUACCAAGGCUUUGACGGGUAGCCGGCCUGAGAGGGUGGACGGUCACACUGGGACUGAGAUACGGCCCAGACUCCUACGGGAGGCAGCAGUGGGGAAUAUUGCACAAUGGGCGCAAGCCUGAUGCAGCGACGCCGCGUGAGGGAUGAAGGCCUUCGGGUUGUAAACCUCUUUCGUCAGGGAACAAGGCAUUGCCUUUUUUGGUGGUGUUGAGGGUACCUGGAUAAGAAGCGCCGGCUAACUACGUGCCAGCAGCCGCGGUAAUACGUAGGGCGCAAGCGUUGUCCGGAAUUAUUGGGCGUAAAGAGCUCGUAGGCGGCUGGUCGCGUCUGUCGUGAAAACUUCCGGCUCAACCGGGGGCUUGCGGUGGGUACGGGCCGGCUAGAGUGCGGUAGGGGUAACUGGAACUCCUGGUGUAGCGGUGGAAUGCGCAGAUAUCAGGAAGAACACCGAUGGCGAAGGCAGGUUACUGGGCCGUUACUGACGCUGAGGAGCGAAAGCGUGGGGAGCGAACAGG
This 758-nucleotide ribosomal RNA is filed under the name uncultured Actinomyces sp. Its description in RNAcentral is "bacterial SSU rRNA". It matches the Rfam family "Bacterial small subunit ribosomal RNA", at positions 28 to 776 of the family's 1533-position model. The record is from RNAcentral. Lineage: Bacteria; Bacillati; Actinomycetota; Actinomycetes; Actinomycetales; Actinomycetaceae.